This 245-nucleotide ribosomal RNA is filed under the name uncultured Pirellula sp. Its description in RNAcentral is "partial 16S ribosomal RNA". It matches the Rfam family "Bacterial small subunit ribosomal RNA", at positions 524 to 768 of the family's 1533-position model. The record is from RNAcentral. Lineage: Bacteria; Pseudomonadati; Planctomycetota; Planctomycetia; Pirellulales; Pirellulaceae.
CACGAACUGUGCAAACGUUAUUCGGAAUCACUGGGCUUAAAGAGUUCGUAGGCGGCGCGCUAAGUCGGGUGUGAAAGCCCUCGGCUCAACCGAGGAAUUGCGCCCGAUACUGGCGUGCUUGAGUGAGAUAGAGGUGAGCGGAACUGAUGGUGGAGCGGUGAAAUGCGUUGAUAUCAUCAGGAACACCGGUGGCGAAAGCGGCUCACUGGGUCUCAACUGACGCUGAGGAACGAAAGCUAGGGUAG